Molecule: ribosomal RNA, 392 nt
Filed under: uncultured soil bacterium
Lineage: Bacteria
Description: bacterial SSU rRNA
Rfam family: Bacterial small subunit ribosomal RNA
Source: RNAcentral
AGAUUGAACGCUGGCGGAAUGCCUUACACAUGCAAGUCGAACGGCAGCACGGGAGCAAUCCUGGUGGCGAGUGGCGAACGGGUGAGUAAUACAUCGGAACGUGCCCAAUCGUGGGGGAUAACGUAGCGAAAGCUACGCUAAUACCGCAUACGAUCUACGGAUGAAAGCAGGGGAUCGCAAGACCUUGCGCGAAUGGAGCGGCCGAUGGCAGAUUUAGGGUAGUUGGUGGGGUUAAAAGGCGUCACCAAAGCCUUUCGAUCUGUAGCUGGUCUGAGAGGACGACCAGCCACACGUGGACUGAGACACGGCCCAGACUCCGUACGGGAGGCAGCAGUGGGGAAUUUUGGACAAUGGGCGCAAGCCUGAUCAGCCAUUCCGCGUGCAGAUGAGCC